This 484-nucleotide ribosomal RNA is filed under the name uncultured bacterium. Its description in RNAcentral is "partial 16S ribosomal RNA". It matches the Rfam family "Bacterial small subunit ribosomal RNA", at positions 30 to 507 of the family's 1533-position model. The record is from RNAcentral.
AUUGAACGCUGGCGGCAGGCCUAACACAUGCAAGUCGAGCGGAUGAAGGGAGCUUGCUCCUGGAUUCAGCGGCGGACGGGUGAGUAAUGCCUAGGAAUCUGCCUGGUAGUGGGGGAUAACGUCCGGAAACGGGCGCUAAUACCGCAUACGUCCUGAGGGAGAAAGUGGGGGAUCUUCGGACCUCACGCUAUCAGAUGAGCCUAGGUCGGAUUAGCUAGUUGGUGGGGUAAAGGCCUACCAAGGCGACGAUCCGUAACUGGUCUGAGAGGAUGAUCAGUCACACUGGAACUGAGACACGGUCCAGACUCCUACGGGAGGCAGCAGUGGGGAAUAUUGGACAAUGGGCGAAAGCCUGAUCCAGCCAUGGCGCGUGUGUGAAGAAGGUCUUCGGAUUGUAAAGCACUUUAAGUUGGGAGGAAGGGCAGUAAGUUAAUACCUUGCUGGAUUGACGUUACCAACAGAAUAAGCACCGGCUAACUUCGUG